UGUACAAAGUCAAUGUUGUUGCAGCAGCUGCUCUGGGGGAACGGCCCAUCACAGAUCAGAGCCGAGGGGUGAACGGGCUCCUCCCUGGAUGCGGCCAUGACCUCAGUGCCACAGAGGCACCGGAACUGGGGACAGCAGCAGGGUAGUAGCAUUAGGGCACACCCUGCCUUUGCAUGGAAAGGACAGAGAGCCCAACACGGCGCCUGGAACACACGAGUCCUGCAUGCAAAACAGAAGAAAGAACAAGACCCCUAAAGGCCCAAAGCCACCUGGGCUUCAGCAGCCCAGAGGUCAUGUUCAAGGUGGUUCUGGAUUCUGAGGACCUUCCAUCUGUUGCGUUGGUGUUUGCAGCCCUUGGCCUACAAUCUUCCCACGUGUGUCUGCAGCCUCUCUCCUAUCAGAGUGGAUCUCCAGGUUCUUUGAGGAUCAUCCCUGUAACUUCUAUAGUAGCCACCGCCCCCAGUUCCCUACAACACCUGCUAUGGGACUGUUGACUAAAGACGCCUUGGUAUGUGACCGGCUGUCACUUCCAACAAAAUCUUUGAAGAUGAUAACAGAGAUGUUUGCUCAAGCACUCUACAACUUACAUACAAGGAUGCUUCAGCUACAGUCUCAUCGGUAGGAGAUAAGGCGCCACCAAAUAGCCACCUGUAGGCAAAUGAUGAAGUCACGAAGUAUUCUCCAGCUACA
Nyctereutes procyonoides (raccoon dog) is the source of this 690-nucleotide long non-coding RNA. RefSeq lists it as uncharacterized. The record is from RefSeq and is a predicted model, not a curated record. NCBI's taxonomy places the organism in Eukaryota, Metazoa, Chordata, Mammalia, Carnivora, Canidae. The transcript is spliced from 3 exons.